Molecule: unclassified non-coding RNA, 240 nt
Filed under: soil metagenome
Description: partial contains 5.8S ribosomal RNA, internal transcribed spacer 2, and large subunit ribosomal RNA
Source: RNAcentral
AACCAUAGAAACCUGCGGAGUACCUGCGGAAGGAUCAUUAAAGAAAUGCGGCGGAGGGGCCCCCCAAAAGGGCCACCCGAGCCAACACGUUCUACCCUGUCUUUUCGAUACCUCUACCUCCUCCCCGGCCUCCGGGCCGGGAUGGCUACUUCAAAAAAAACCUUGCAGUUUACAGUCAAUUCAGUACUUUGUAACAAAAUUACAACUUUUAACAAUGGAUCUCAGAUCGGAAGAGCACAC